GUGUUCAUUUUGGCAGCACAUAUGAUAAAAUUGGAUUAAUGCAGGGAGAUUAAGCCUCUGUAUAAGGAUGAAGUGCAAACUUGUGAAGCAUUUCUGUUUGUG
Molecule: small nuclear RNA, 102 nt
Organism: Peromyscus californicus insignis
Lineage: Eukaryota; Metazoa; Chordata; Mammalia; Rodentia; Cricetidae
Source: RefSeq, a predicted model, not a curated record